Molecule: long non-coding RNA, 577 nt
Filed under: Salvia miltiorrhiza (redroot sage)
Lineage: Eukaryota; Viridiplantae; Streptophyta; Magnoliopsida; Lamiales; Lamiaceae
Description: long non-coding RNA (SMIL_LNC013652)
Source: RNAcentral
CUGCACUACAAUUUCAGUAUGGGGUAACCCAUACCAACAAGUAUCUCUCCCUAUGCCCACUGGUGACCCUCUUGGCGAGGAAGCUUGCUGGUUUCAACGAGAAAGCCGCGGAUGAGGCAGCUGUGGCAGAAACCCGAUUCUUUGAUAUCGGGAGGCUCGUGCGGUGGCGGAUUGUUGAGAUGGAUGAAGGAGGAGACUACCGUUUGGUCCAACCAGAAGGCAGCUCAGUUCGACCUGAACCGAAGGUUGCAAGGGAACAAGGAACCUCUCGCCCAGUCAAUAGCGAGAUUAUCAAACUGACGGACGAACUGAAAGAAGUCAAGGACGAGCUGGUGAUGCUGGGAGGAGAAGUGGCCACACUGAGGGACACUGUGGAGGAAGGAUUCAAAGCGAUGGAAGCUUGCUUUAAGGAAAUCAAAGAGAUGAUGGCUGCGGAGGUGAGAUCCUCCGACCAAAAUGACUAAGUACUUUCCCCUGAACUCGUAGAUUAGGAUUUUAUUUUAUCUUUUGCUUUUUCUUGUUUUAGCGUCUGUUUUGUCUGUGAUAGAGUCGAGUCUACUUGCAUUGUUUGAUGGUG